RNAcentral lists this ribosomal RNA (232 nucleotides) under uncultured bacterium. Its description in RNAcentral is "partial 16S ribosomal RNA". It matches the Rfam family "Bacterial small subunit ribosomal RNA", at positions 524 to 755 of the family's 1533-position model. The record is from RNAcentral.
UACGAAGGGUGCAAACGUUGCUCGGAAUUAUUGGGCGUAAAGCGCACGUAGGCGGCUUAGCAAGUCGGAUGUGAAAUCCCUCGGCUCAACCAAGGAAGUGCAUCCGAAACUGCUGAGCUUGAGUACUUAAGAGGAUCGCGGAAUUCCCGGUGUAGAGGUGAAAUUCGUAGAUAUCGGGAGGAACACCAGUGGCGAAGGCGGCUUCCUGGCCUGUUCUUGACGCUGAGGCGCG